UACGGGGGGGGCAAGCGUUGUCCGGAUUUAUUGGGCGUAAAGAGCGUGUAGGCGGCCAAAUAGGUCGGUUGUGAAAACUGGAGGCUUAACCUCCAGACGUCGACCGAAACCAUCUGGCUAGAGUCCGGAAGAGGAGAGUGGAAUUCCUGGUGUAGCGGUGAAAUGCGCAGAUAUCAGGAAGAACACCCGUGGCGAAGGCGGCUCUCUGGGACGGUACUGACGCUGAGACGCGAAAGCGUGGGGAGCGAACAGG
Molecule: ribosomal RNA, 253 nt
Filed under: uncultured bacterium
Lineage: Bacteria
Description: partial 16S ribosomal RNA
Rfam family: Bacterial small subunit ribosomal RNA
Source: RNAcentral